UAUGAAAUAAAGGUUUAUAAAUUAUGCAAAUGGAUUUCACAGCUCUUUCAUCAAUCUGCUGCUCAAGAAUUAUGAGUUCUUAAUAAUACAGAGAAUUAAUUCUGGAGUCCACAGUUCCCCAAUGAAUGCUCUGUUUAUCUACUAUUGCGAUGUAUAGGACAUCACAUCAAGGAACAAAGCCACAGCUACAAAUGGUCAGACCAACAGGAAACUGCAGGUUUACAGGAACUCGAAACUGCCGCACUUGAGGAAGGCAAAGGAGCAGAGAGGUUGAGAAGAUGAAUGCCACAGCUUACAGCCGCCUUCUUCACUCCAGAAACUUCCUGAACACUUUGGUACCAGCGGGCCAGAAAGGGCAAAGUUUUCAGCGUCUUGUCUCGACAAUCCCCAAGAGAAAC
Stegostoma tigrinum is the source of this 398-nucleotide long non-coding RNA. RefSeq lists it as uncharacterized. The record is from RefSeq and is a predicted model, not a curated record. NCBI's taxonomy places the organism in Eukaryota, Metazoa, Chordata, Chondrichthyes, Orectolobiformes, Stegostomatidae. The transcript is spliced from 2 exons.